GUUUCCUUCAGCAUCUUCCCAUACAAUCCUGAUGUCUUGACAAACUGCACCUGCACAGCAAAUUUGUCUUCGUGCCAUAUGCUCCAUGAAGAGUAGAGUGCCCCCCAAGAUCUUGAGGCAGCCUGAAAAUUUUACAUCAUUGUGAGCAGUAUUACAAUCAAGAUGAAAUGGAACAGCCGUGCGCCGAUUUUUUGCAAAGCGUAUUUGUUCAUGAAAUUUAAGGCACAUGCAAUGUUUGCAUAACUCUUACCAGAUGCCAGACGGAGCUCCUUUGCUCAAACACUUGCGAGGUCCUCUUUACUACGCCAAAGUCAUUUUCCCCUGGCUCCAGUCCUCUGUAUUGCUCUUCCCAGUGGAUAUGUGCCUGAGCCUUGUGAGGGCCCAGUACAAUAUCCCAAAAGUCUCUGAAAAGCUGAUUCGCCCUCUGAGAAUCCUUGACCUCUGGAAGGUCAUAGCACCA
This 460-nucleotide long non-coding RNA is filed under the name Coccomyxa subellipsoidea. RNAcentral describes it as "long non-coding RNA (CSUB_LNC000021)". The record is from RNAcentral. Lineage: Eukaryota; Viridiplantae; Chlorophyta; Trebouxiophyceae; Coccomyxaceae.